RNAcentral lists this long non-coding RNA (306 nucleotides) under Ananas comosus (pineapple). RNAcentral describes it as "long non-coding RNA (ACOM_LNC006734)". The record is from RNAcentral. Lineage: Eukaryota; Viridiplantae; Streptophyta; Magnoliopsida; Poales; Bromeliaceae.
AUUGGUUUAGAAGGACCAAAUUUCCAAUUGAGCUUAAUCAAUAACGGAAUGUUGCAUUGAACCGAGUCAUAUUCGAAGUGGUGGGAGGUUAGUUUGACCUAAUCACAAUUAACGAAAAAUCUAUGUGGAGUAUCUAAAGUUUUAUAUAUAUAUAUAUAUAUAUAUAUAUAUAAUUUAACGAAAUAUUAACGAAAAAGUUGACGAAAAAAAUAAAAAUAAAAUCAUAGAACACUAACUUCAUACACUUCAAACAACAAGGCACUAAAAUGAGAAAGUGCGAAACUACGGGGGUGUGUUUGAAGUUUA